Molecule: long non-coding RNA, 454 nt
Organism: Raphanus sativus (radish)
Lineage: Eukaryota; Viridiplantae; Streptophyta; Magnoliopsida; Brassicales; Brassicaceae
Exons: 2
Source: RefSeq, a predicted model, not a curated record
UAGAGGUGAUGUGACUUUCGGCGGUCUAACCGGUAUUCGAAAAUGUGUUUCUCUCUGGAGAACUGCUCCAUGAAGACGGCAUAUCUGGUGUUUUUCGGUGGUUCUUUUUCUCUCUCCUUACGAAUUGGGUGGAUCUUGACACAACCGACCCCCCACAAAAGUUGAAUUUUGGUGUCGAACCAACAUUAGUGGCCGCGAGACGCUUUGUGGAUGGCUGUGGUAACAGUGAGCGGAAACAGAUUUUGUACAUGAUUAAACAUCAUGAUUUUGUCAAGUUCCUAAAAUUGAAACUGGUAAUUUACUGGUGUUCACUGGAGGAGGAUGAUUACAUCCUUGGCCUUAUUUCCAAUUACUUUUUCCUUGUUUUGCUUAGAAUUGUGUGUUUGGUUAUUGUUCCAAAUUGCUUGUAAUCUAGUUGUUUUUGGCCUGUCAGACAUGUAUUCUUCUGACGUUC